GCACCACUGCACUGCAGCCUGGGCAAUAGAGCAAGACCCUGUCUCAAAAAAAAAAAAAAUCUGUAUCCAUUGACAUCAACAGAGCCCCAUAAUCCAUUAAGUUUUAAAAAAGAUUACAAAAGAUUGUGUAGAGUAUGCUUCAUUUGUGUUGAAUUGUAUACCUAAGUGUGUACUCCCAGGAAGGAGUCUGGAAGAGUAGUCUCCAAAAUUUCUGGGUGUUAGGAAGUAGAUUCUGUGGAUUGUACCUUCUGUGGGUAGCCAGUGCCCAGUGACCAUCUGGGCUUGCCACAUGGCCCCAGUUCUCAUUCUGAUGGAACUGACCUGCCCUGGGAUUAGGGUGACUGGCUGUGCCCUUGCAUAGGCUCAAGGGGAUUGACUAGGGGACCACAUCAGCGUGGAUUAUUCUGGAGAUCCUGAGAAAGAUUGUGUUGCAUAGCAAAGCUCUCUAAAACUUACAUGGUGUAAAACAAUAACCAUUUUACAACCAAUUCUGUUGUCGGGAGUUUGGAAAAGGCACAACUGGAAUGCCUUAUCUCUGCACCUUGAUAUCCAGGGCCUUAGCUGGGAAGUUACAACUUCCAGCUACAAAUGACUUGACCAGGAAUCAGCUGGAGAGCUCUUCAUACCUGGAGUCACUGGAAGGCUGGGCUUAGCUGGAGCUGUCGACCGGAGAACCUACACAUGGGCUGCAUAUAGCUUGGACUUCUGACAGCUUGGGAUCCAGUUCCCAGGGGCGGUGUCUUUAAGAGGGAAGACUCUGGAGAGUAUUUCAAGAGACCAAAGCAAAAGCAGAGAAUGAGGAACCACUGGAGGGAUCCAAACAGAAGUUUGUGAUCAGAUUUGAGUUGGGAAGGUCAUCCUGAUGGCAGUGCAGACAGAGGAUGAGAGAGACCCGAGACCAGGUAGGUGGCCGCUGCAAUAGACUGAGCAGUCAGUACUGAGCCCUGCAUUGCCGUGCAUCCUUACAGCCACUCCGUCUUAAGCCCCAUCGGGGAGCAGCCAUUCUCUCCUGCCUCUGCCCAGUGCCUGUGCUUGAGGAGAGAGGUCAUUCUGGUCUUCUCCAGAGCCAUGCUCUGACCUUGGUCAGAGACCUCGUCCUGCCAGAGCCCCAUUUAUUGAUCUGGCUUCUCCACUACACCCAGGUCAUGGUUCUAUUUAAGGUGUGUGGGAAGUAGGAGCUGUCUCUCUCUACCCUCAUUUAAUCAACCUGACUGAGGAAUCGCCAGACUGGAAGCAAGUCUUCAACUAUUAACAGCUGAAAAUAAAACAAGAACAGCCACAUGGAUGACAAGACAGUAUCAACACUUUGCAUGGAUUGUCCAAUUUACUACUCUCGGCAACCCCGUGAGGUGGAUGCCAUUGCCUUGCCCAUUUCACAGAUGAGAAAAUGGAGUCUCUGAGUCGUUCAUGCAGUGGCUGCUCACUUUAGGGCCUCCAGGGCAUAUCUGGCCUCCAGUAAGCCAUGGCCUAAAGAGUCCACACCACAGGCUCAUGAGGUCCUUGGUCUCUACAGCGUGGAAUGCAGUGGCCACUUUCUACUGCUGCCUAUUUGUCCAAGCUUGACAAGAGCGUCCCCUCCUGUAGUGAUCCCAAUACCCCCAUCCUUGUCGCCACUCCAGGUUUCCCCACUCCCUGCCCUCCUCUGCCCUAGCAUGCACCCAGCUGGCUGCUGUGCCACGGUUUGCUUGCCCGUCCUAGAGGGUGAGCUCCCCAAGGACACGCAGACAGAUCUCACUCGCCCUGUGGUUCCACGCCAGCAGAGAGGCUCUCACUGAAGGCGUCAGAUGUUGAAGUUUGAGGGGGACGCCUUGCUGCCCUCACUGCUUUGGGGCCUUCCAGCUUUCCAGAGGGAUGGGCUGCCUCCCCAUCCUCCCUCCGAAACCUGCAUGGGGGACUGAGAGGGGCUUUCCCAAGCAGUGUGUCCUCGCAACGUUAAGAUCACGUCCCUACCUUCUGUCUUUUCUUUUUCAAAUAAGUGUCCAAAUUCAAAGGCUGUGAUAAGCUUUUGCUAAAGAAAGGCUGUAAACCAGCUCAGACUCACAUACCAGGGUGUCCAGCCCAUGACCCACCAGGAGAAAAGAAGGAGAUUGAAGGAGGGAAAGGGACAGAGAUGGUCACCAAGCUGAAGGCAGAUGAAGAAGUGAGAGGGAGAAAAGUGCCUUCUUGCUGGGAGCCUCCCUUGUGUCUGGAAUGAUCAGAGAUGGGGGAGAAACAGUACAGCCUUCAGCAGAUGAAAUUGAGCGGUUGUGUUGUGAGGCGGGCUCUGGUACUUAAAUGCAAUAGCUGAUCUAAUCACUAGUCUCGUUCUCUGGGAAGCUUUUUGCUGCAUUUUAGCACAGAAAAGUGUUGUCUUUCUUUUGUGUCUCGAGCUGCUAUUUAAGAAAGCAAAAAAAAAA
Sapajus apella (tufted capuchin) is the source of this 2396-nucleotide long non-coding RNA. RefSeq lists it as uncharacterized. The transcript is spliced from 2 exons. The record is from RefSeq and is a predicted model, not a curated record. Lineage: Eukaryota; Metazoa; Chordata; Mammalia; Primates; Cebidae.